GUAUGUGAUUAUGAAAUCUCACUUGCUUCCAUACUCUUCGAGUCCCUAGGGUAUAGGCCUGCAGGGCUCCCACAACCAUAAGCAACCCUCCAGUUCAAGCAAGCAGUGCUGUGUUGUUGGAGAACAGAGCAAAUACCUGCUGGAUCCUCUCGUUGCUCAGUACAAUCAGGUCUUCACCUGUGGGAGCACAUGUAUUUAUAGCCUUGUCACAGAACAUCAUAAUUAGACAUGCCCAUAAGGCAGCUGCAACCCAUAACAUUGUCACAGCUCAGGGACUCCAUUAUUAGUACUGUGUCAUCAGAGGGUUAGGCUGCAAGCAGAUAACCCAUCUAAUACAGUAGUACUUCAGGGAAUUAGCCACGAUUCCAAUUUGGGGUGAUUAGUUUUUGAUCUGAUGCUAAUGCCAUGUUCUGCGUUGUUGCCCUGAAGACUAAAGUUGUCUUUUUCACUCCCAGAACAGGUGCAGUUUCCACAUCAACAAAAUCAAACCUGCUCAGGAGGAACCACUGCUAUUUGGUCUGUUUAAACUGCCAGUGUUCACUCUCCAUGAAUGGUUUUAUCGGUGGACUUGAAUGAGACUGCAAAGGGAGAGAAGGCAGCGGAGCUGGGAACAGCAAGCAGAUGCCCUGUGUCAGCGCAAGGAGCACAGCGAUGUCACCGUCGGCACACUGAAACAGGUAAUGGAGAUGUCAGCUGGGAAUGCAGCUGGGCUGAAAAAAAGGAGUUGUUAGGUGGGCAAGCGACAGGGGUGUUCUCCCAGCGUGCAGGCAGCAGCCCUCCUUUCUGGCUGGGGGGACAGCAUUGCUGCCUCCCGGUCACCAGAGUGUGUACACAGCUUUUGAUUCUAAAAUCAGAAACCAAAAUCCAAAUAAUUAAACCAGUGGAGUUAAUUUGGUCUGUGAUUCUGGAAGUGUAUUCAAGUAGGGUUUCUGUCGGGAGCUUCUCCAGGAGUUUACCCUCGCCCUGCGUGCCGCAUUGGUCCUGCAGAGCAGGCCAGCUGCACGUGAUGAACCACCUGCUCUUCCUAUUCCCUAGGGACAUGUUCAGCCACCAGCCUGGGCUGCUUGGAUGGGAUCUGUUACAAUCCCGGUUGGAGGAGCCACUUACAGAGGUAGAGCCCUGUUAG
This 1126-nucleotide long non-coding RNA is filed under the name Anas zonorhyncha (Eastern spot-billed duck). RNAcentral's name for it is "lncRNA (ENSAZOG00000003248.1)". Lineage: Eukaryota; Metazoa; Chordata; Aves; Anseriformes; Anatidae. The record is from RNAcentral.